GAUGAACGCUGGCGGCGUGCCUAAUACAUGCAAGUCGAGCGAACGGACGAGAAGCUUGCUCCUCUGAUGUUAGCGGCGGACGGGUGAGUAACACGUGGAUAACCUACCUAUAAGACUGGGAUAACUUCGGGAAACCGGAGCUAAUACCGGAUAAUAUUUUGAACCGCAUGGUUCAAAAGUGAAAGACGGUCUUGCUGUCACUUAUAGAUGGAUCCGCGCUGCAUUAGCUAGUUGGUAAGGUAACGGCUUACCAAGGCAACGAUGCAUAGCCGACCUGGGAGGGUGAUCGGCCACACUGGAACUGAGACACGGUCCAGACUCCUACGGGAGGCAGCAGUAGGGAAUCUUCCGCAAUGGGCGAAAGCCUGACGGAGCAACGCCGCGUGAGUGAUGAAGGUCUUCGGAUCGUAAAACUCUGUUAUUAGGGAAGAACAUAUGUGUAAGUAACUGUGCACAUCUUGACGGUACCUAAUCAGAAAGCCACGGCUAACUACGUG
Molecule: ribosomal RNA, 497 nt
Filed under: uncultured bacterium
Lineage: Bacteria
Description: partial 16S ribosomal RNA
Rfam family: Bacterial small subunit ribosomal RNA
Source: RNAcentral